GAGACACCCUUCUGGGGCAAGACUUGCUUCAGUGGGGCUUUGGAGCUCACUGAGUCUGCCUCCUGAGUGUGUCCCU
This 76-nucleotide microRNA precursor is filed under the name Myotis lucifugus (little brown bat). Its description in RNAcentral is "mir-9229 microRNA precursor family". It matches the Rfam family "mir-9229 microRNA precursor family". Lineage: Eukaryota; Metazoa; Chordata; Mammalia; Chiroptera; Vespertilionidae. The record is from Rfam by way of RNAcentral.